GGGCCGCUAGCUCAGUUGGCUAGAGCAGCUGACUCUUAAUCAGCGGGUCGAGUGUUCGAGUCACUCGCGGCCCA
Molecule: transfer RNA, 74 nt
Filed under: bacterium
Lineage: Bacteria
Also listed under: 2 other names
Description: tRNA-Lys
Rfam family: tRNA
About the family: Transfer RNA (tRNA) molecules are approximately 80 nucleotides in length. Their secondary structure includes four short double-helical elements and three loops (D, anti-codon, and T loops).
Source: RNAcentral